UAACGAUUGAGUAACUCUUAGCAUAUUUAUUUAGUGUGUUGAUGUAAAAUAAUAAUAAAACAGGGUUAGAUAAACAGGGAAAACAGCCUUCAUGGGGUUCCUACCCCCUCUCCCUUUCUCCAGUAUCUGACAAAGCGACCGUCAGCCUCCUGGCGGCAGGACUCUCACGCUCACCAGGUUGAUCCAGAGACUUCCAGCCGCGAUUGGUGCCUCCGAGUCUGUCCGGCCCUGCUGUUGACUACAGAGGAAUUUCACCUCUGGAUCCGAGUUAAAACAUUUACGAUAAUGCCCACAAUAAAACUACAGAGCUCUGAUGGGGAAAUCUUCGAGGUGGAUGUUGAGAUAGCCAAACAGUCUGUCACAAUCAAGACCAUGUUAGAAGAUUUGGGAAUGGAUGAUGAAGGAGAUGAUGACCCAGUUCCCCUCCCUAAUGUGAACGCUGCCAUCCUCAAGAAGGUGAUUCAGUGGUGCACUCAUCACAAAGAUGAUCCUCCUCCUCCUGAGGACGAUGAGAACAAGGAGAAGAGGACAGAUGACAUUCCUGUAUGGGAUCAGGAGUUCCUCAAAGUGGACCAAGGCACCUUGUUUGAACUGAUUCUGGCUGCCAACUAUUUGGACAUCAAAGGUCUGUUAGAUGUCACCUGCAAGACGGUGGCCAACAUGAUUAAAGGCAAAACCCCAGAGGAGAUCAGGAAGACUUUCAACAUCAAAAAUGAUUUCACAGAGGAGGAAGAAGCCCAGGUACGCAAAGAGAACCAGUGGUGUGAAGAGAAGUAAAGGGGAAGAUCCUGCCAACACUCCACACUGAAAAAGAAUGGUCCCUGUUAACUGGUUGCACUGGCGUUGUUCAUACCAAUAGCAUGACCAUUUUAACUUUCUUGUGUGUUGUCAUUAAUUUAAACAAAGCUCUUUUCUGUUUCCACACACAUGGUGUGCAUUCUCAUAACAAAUAGUUCUGGUUUCAUGGCUUUGUACCCUUAAAGAUUAGAAAAUGUUUCCCUAUUAUUAAUUGCUAAGGUUGUCUUUUUUACCAGACAUGUUAUGUUUUUCUUUUAGGGUAAUUAAUGAAAUAAAAUGGCUCUUUUGACAAUGGA
Sander lucioperca (pikeperch) is the source of this 1094-nucleotide RNA transcript. It is a transcript of the gene named S-phase kinase-associated protein 1, with no coding region annotated. The transcript is spliced from 7 exons. The record is from RefSeq and is a predicted model, not a curated record. NCBI's taxonomy places the organism in Eukaryota, Metazoa, Chordata, Actinopteri, Perciformes, Percidae.